This 76-nucleotide transfer RNA is filed under the name Thermohalobacter berrensis. Its description in RNAcentral is "tRNA-Lys". It matches the Rfam family "tRNA". From Rfam's summary of the family: Transfer RNA (tRNA) molecules are approximately 80 nucleotides in length. The record is from RNAcentral. Lineage: Bacteria; Bacillati; Bacillota; Tissierellia; Tissierellales; Thermohalobacteraceae.
GACCCAUUAGCUCAGUUGGUAGAGCACCGGACUUUUAAUCCGGGUGUCCCGCGUUCGAGUCGCGGAUGGGUCACCA